Long non-coding RNA from Equus caballus (horse), 4198 nucleotides. The record is from Ensembl. NCBI's taxonomy places the organism in Eukaryota, Metazoa, Chordata, Mammalia, Perissodactyla, Equidae.
GGGAAGCUCAGUUGCCCCGGGCAGGUCUGGAGCACAGAGACCCCACCGCACAGGCUCCUCCUGGCAGCAGUUUUCUCAGGACGUCUCCAGGAGCAAUCGAAGCGUUGCUGGGCGUGUGGGUGAAUCCCAAGGUUCCUCGUCAGCGGGUCCACUGUCGGACUAGGCUCUGGCCAACGGGACCCGGCAUGGGAAUGGGCGAGAUGUGUGCAACUUCCGGCUAGGACGUGUGAGGGGAAAUGUGGGCCUGACGGCAGGAGCUGAAGCAGCUGUCUCAGCCCAGAAGUAAUAUGAUCCGUUGGAGACAUUUGGAAAAUAUGAAGAAUAUUUCCAGAACCAUCCAUAACUCUAGGCCUGAGAUUCUGCUGUGUUUCCUGUCUGUUGUACCACUGUCUCACGUCUUGGUUUCUGGCCAUGUCGAGGGAGAGUUCCAGGCAUGCAGUGCCUUUGCAAGACGAAAAUGCAGAUUCCAAGGCACCCCCAGACGAGCUGGAGGACCGGGUGCCCUGGAGCCACCCUGGGGUGAGUGGGUGCCGGGUGAAAGCUCAGUGCCGGGUCUGUGGGGGUGGCAGACAGCACAGAGCCUCCAGGAGGGUAAUUAGGCACAUGGAUUUCAAGCCACGAGGAAGAAGGCAGAUCGAGGCAGGACAGAAGGAGCCCCGUGGGAGUGCUGCCUGGGACGAGGUUCCAGGCUGCGGACGACUCCGGGCCGCUCACAAACUGCAGGUCGCAGCCCAUUAGCUGGUUGUGAAAUCAAUUUAAUGAGUCCUAACUAGCGUGAAAAAAUGGAACAGAACUCUCCGUUUCUAUGAUCAUCCUAGAAAUGAUGAUUUCCAUCAGGAAUCGCUCAUCACCGGGAGGCUGUCUCACGGGCUUUUGCUUCCCUUCCACGUGUGUGCGCUGGUUGUGACGUUAAGUGCAUUUCUCGUGGCCGGUCUUGAUUAACAAAGUUGGAGAGCGCUGGCCGACGAGAGCGAGCAUUCAGAGGCUGCUUGUGGCAGCAGUUCAGCCUCGGAAGACGAGGAAGACAGGCAGACAGGAGCGUGGGUGUGGACGGAGACGGGCGUUUUGUGGAAUGGAGGCGGGUGGAGGGUGGGCACGUGCGGAGGCCGGCCACAGCACUGCAGCACCACCUGUGUGAGACCCAAUGAGCCCCUCCUCCCUGCCUUCCCUCCCGCAGGCCACCCGCUUCCGUCGUGGCGUGGGCCCCAUCCCCAGCUCCAUCUGGUCCUCGCCACGGAGGCCUCUGGCAGUCAGCACAGGGGCAGCCUCCCACAGAGCCCUGAAGGACCAGGUGAGCCUCACGCACUUGCUGACUCAGGGCAGAACAGCCACAGGGCCUCGCCCGUGAGUGUGGCUUGGACACACUGGGGCAUGGAGCUUGUCCCUGAGUUCCACACUUGUACUAGGAGGGCUUCCCGUGCGGUGGGGCGUGAAUUACGAAGAAAAUCACACCUCCCUCCUCCUGAACGAAACGAUUCCCAUGCCUCACUCGGGUCACAGAAACUGAGGUCACCUGCCCUUGGCCCAGCGUGUAGGAGGUCAGGACACAGCCCCCACCCAUGCCUGCCCUAGGUGCCCUCUGAGACCCUAACCUCCCGAGACUGCCAGAAGCCCUCCAGAUAAGUGCAUUCCGGUUUGAACUGCGGCGUGACAGGGUCUCUGUGAAUGCAAGGUGCGGUGCGCCAGUGCUGGAAGCGUGCAGGGGCCGGGCGUCCCACCCACCCGUGAUCACUCACUACCUUCCCCAGACGCACCAGGACAGCAGGUGUGCCCAGGCUCGGGGCCAGGUGGACGAGAGUCUGAGAUGUGGGGCCGUGGACCCCAUUCGACUCCACCAGCCUCCUUUUCCUCCUCUGUAAAUUAGGGUGACAAAAGGCCUCUCAGCAGAGUUGUUGUGAAGCAGCGAAGCCCCAUGGUAAAGGGCUCACGAGGCUUCAGACCACACAGGUGAGCCCCCUACAGGUGAGCCUCACACGAGUGAGACCCACACAGGUGAGCCCCACACGGAUGAGCCUCACACGGAUGAGCCCCACACGGGUGAGCCCCACACGACUGAGCCCCACACGACUGAGCCCCACACGGGUGAGCCCCACACGACUGAGCCCCACACGACUGAGCCCCACACGGGUGAGCCCCACACAGGUGAGCCCUCCACAGGUGAAUCCCACAUGAGUGAGCUCUACAUAGGUGAGCCCCACACAGGUGAGCUCCACACAGGUGAGCUGCACACGAGUGAGACCUCCACAGGUGAGCCCUUCACAGGUGAGCCCCACAUGGGUGAGCCCUACACAGAUGAGCCCCACCCGAGUGACCCACAUGGAUGAGCCCCACAUGUCUGAGCCCCACACAGGUAAGCCCCACACGAGUGAGCCCCACAUGAGUGAGCCCCACACAAGUGAGACCCACAUGGAUGAACCCCACAUGAGUGAGCUCCCCACACGGGUGGGCCCCACACGGGUGAGCCCUCCACAGGUGAAUACCACAUGAGUGAGCUCUACAUAGGUGAGCCCCACACAGGUGAGCCCCACACGGGUGAGCUGCACAUGAGUGAGACCUCCACAGGUGAGCCCUUCACAGGUGAGCCCCACAUGGGUGAGCCCCACACGUCAGCCCUCCACAGGUGAGCCCCACACAGGUGAGCCCCACACGAGUGAGCCCCACAUGAGUGAGCCCCACACAAGCGAGCCCCACACGGAUGAACCCCACACAAGUGAGCUCCCCACAUAGGGGAACCUCACACAGGUGAGCCCCCACAGGAGAGCAACCAGAGUCACCCAGGAUGCUCCCCAUCACGGCCCAUUUCAUUCUGUGGUGGCUCCAGGAAAGACUUUGUCAUUUGAGCAUAGGUCUGCCCCUUCCAGCUCCUUCCAGGUUAACAGGCGUGAGGGGCCCAGUCGGAGAGGCGGGGGGCUUUGAACUUCUGAAGGGUGGGGUGUGGUCUGUCGCUGGACGAUCGUGGGGGCCUGUGCUCCUUCCCCGUUAGGAUCUGCUUGAGUCAGCGCCUGUCACCGGGCACCUUCACAGCACAGGCAAUGCAAGGAUUCUCCCUUCUUGACGUUGUGGACACUCCGCUCCUUUCAGCUUUCAGGCUGCUGAGCCUCUGGAAGCACAAACACAACCCAAAUCCCCUUUGUAUCGCAACAAAAAGGCCUCCACCUGCUCACUUGUGAGAGUUGCGCUUUUGUAUAACGCACACAACACGGAUGGGAGGGAUUUUCUUCAAGGAGGAAGAUGCGGCCGGUAAAUGGGAACCAAGUAAACGCGUUCCCAGAAAACCUCUUCUGGGUAAGUGCAGUGGGCAAGGGACAGGAGCACGAAUAAUUGUGUCUUCUGAAUUUCCUCAGAGGCUGGAAGGAGUUAAACCAGACACGUGAUAGGAGGAAUUAGGGAAUAUAUGUAUUUAUAUGUGCAAAAAUUUUUGUAAGGAAAGUUGGCUGCAACUAAACAUUUUCCACAGUGUGCUAUACAUGUUUUCAAUGAAAGAUGACAUGUAUUUGCAUAAAAAUUCUCUGACACAUUAAAUUCCUACAAGCUGAAGUAAAACCCGGGUGCUUCUUGGCGACUGUGUUUUUUUCUAUGUAAAGUAAAAUGCCUCUAAAGAGCAGAAACAACAGUGUCUCUGGAGAGCGCUGCCGGUCGCAUGUUCCCAUCUGGUGGAAACUCGCGUGUCGGUGCAGCAACCAGGAGCCGCCAGGGCCACGAGGUGAUGGCUCACAGAAGAUAGUGUAGCCGGCCAGGGCUGGUGGGAGGGACACAGAGGGGCCUCUCCUCUCGACCCAGCGCAGUGUGUGUAAGGUGCCCGUGGCUGUGAAAGGCCACCUGACAGCCCAGGAAUCUGCGAAGUCUCGGCAUCGUAAGACAGACCAGCUCCUCCAUUCUAGCCUUGCAGAUGAUUUCAACUCUGGGAACGAGACACAGAAUGCGAGACUGAGGGACUUCUGCUCUGGGCCUAAUUGUUUUCUGACUUUAUGUUACAGACAAUUUAGGACAGAAGCAGAGAGUGAAUGACAUGUAGACCUCAUGGACUGCUGUCCAACUUCCACAGUGACCAGCUCGGGCCAGUCCUGCACCAUCAACCCCCAACCCGCUGCCCCACUUGUGUUAUUUUGCAGCUAAUCCCUGACAUCAUAUUUCAUCCUUAAACAUUUGGCAUUGUCUCUAAAAAAAUUAAGAUCUUUAAUAAAACAUUACUACAGAA